CUCCCUGUUCCUUCUCACCCCUUCUCCCGCAGGCUCCAGCUGUGGUGGUGGGGGUGAGCAGCUGCCCUCCGGUGGCCUGGGGAGUGAGGAGGGCGCCAUUCUAAAGCACGAGAGCUCGGCGCAUGGCGACAGUAUAGAUCGGCUACAACAGCGGCAACGGCCCAACGGCGAAAGGGGAUGGCUGCAUGAUGAUCUUGUUCUGAUCAAUUCUGAAAUAGGAAUGGAGGACUACUAUGGUGGUCGCUGUUGAGGAUGCUGGAUUACUUGACAGUAGGUAUGCUAUUUCAGAAUUAUUGGUUGGACGUACAGUCUCAAGUCUCAACCUAGCAAGAACACUUUCAUGCAAAAAUAUUUAGUCCUUUUUGUCUUGGAACAAUAGAAAUUCUGCAAUUGUCGUGCUACAACACAUGCCUUACAAUUUCUUCACUGCAAUCUUAUGCUACAACAUAUGUCUUAUGUAUUUCACUUUGUAUCAGUUUACUUGCCAGAUUUUAAAUUGGAGCUUAGCAUGAACUGAAGAGAGGAUACUUCAACAUGUAUGUGCUGAAAGGCAAAUUAAUUUGGAAGUUUAUUGUAACUGGUACACAAUAUUGGCACUAAAAGCGCGAGCGCUGUGAGUGAAGCCAAGCAAGUUCCUGCUAGGCUGGUGAGCAGGACGACGACCAUAGUUCAGGGAGCGAUUGAUUUCAAGAGAGAUCAUUGGGGACGAGUUCAUAACCAUGUUACUGUCAAGUUUUAGCAAUAUGGUCCAGAGAGCGGUUUCAGAAGAGGUAGAGAAAGAGUUGUUCAGACAAUUCAGUGCAGAAGCAACACCUCCAAGGCCACCGGCGCCGAUGUGACCGAGGUGGAGGCGACCGGCAAGAGGGAGGCUAGCGCGACCAAUUUCCUCGAGCUGUUCAACUUAUUAGUCCUUGCAAUUCCAAAUUCACAUAGGUAUGUAGGCUGUAACGGCACCGCUGUAGCCAUCGCUGCCUUCUCCAAUCCUUGGUAGCAGAUUAAUGCAUAGUAGGUGAGUGCUUCAGGCUGUAGAUUUGGCUCGCUUCCUUAGUACCUCAUGUCUCAUGUGGUUAAAGCUAUGCGAGUAAUUAUGAAGGCUUGAUCAUCAGGAAACAUCCAUGUCAAUUAUGUGUUUGCCGAAUUUCCUUAAGCAUAUGGGAUUCAGUUGUUUGAUGAA
Triticum aestivum (bread wheat) is the source of this 1174-nucleotide long non-coding RNA. RefSeq lists it as uncharacterized. The record is from RefSeq and is a predicted model, not a curated record. Lineage: Eukaryota; Viridiplantae; Streptophyta; Magnoliopsida; Poales; Poaceae. The transcript is spliced from 4 exons.